Molecule: ribosomal RNA, 403 nt
Filed under: bacterium
Lineage: Bacteria
Description: partial 16S ribosomal RNA
Rfam family: Bacterial small subunit ribosomal RNA
Source: RNAcentral
UGGGGAAUAUUGCACAAUGGAGGGAACUCUGAUGCAGCGACGCCGCGUGAACGAAGAAGGCUUUCGAGUCGUAAAGAUCUUUUAUAUGGGAAGAUAAUGACGGUACCAUAAGAAAAAGCCCCGGCUAACUACGUGCCAGCAGCCGCGGUAAUACGUAGGGGGCUAGCGUUGUCCGGAAUCACUGGGCGUAAAGGGUUCGCAGGCGGAAAUGUAAGUCACGUGUAAAAGGCAGUAGCUUAACUACUGUAAGCAUUUGAAACUGCAUACCUUGAGAAGAGUAGAGUUAAUUGGAAUUUUUAGUGUAGCGGUGAAAUGCGUAGAUAUUAAAAAGAAUACCGGUGGCGAAGGCGACUUACUGGGCUCAUUCUGACGCUGAGUAACGAAAGCGUGGGUAGCAAACAGG